Molecule: transfer RNA, 76 nt
Filed under: Legionella beliardensis
Lineage: Bacteria; Pseudomonadati; Pseudomonadota; Gammaproteobacteria; Legionellales; Legionellaceae
Also listed under: 3 other names
Description: tRNA-Ala(tgc)
Rfam family: tRNA
About the family: Transfer RNA (tRNA) molecules are approximately 80 nucleotides in length.
Source: RNAcentral
GGGGUUGUAGCUCAGCUGGGAGAGCACCUGCCUUGCACGCAGGGGGUCGGGAGUUCGAACCUCCCCAGCUCCACCA